AUUAAACGCUGGCGGCAUGCCUUACACAUGCAAGUCGAACGGCAGCACGGGGGCAACCCUGGUGGCGAGUGGCGAACGGGUGAGUAACGCAUCGGAACGUGCCCUGGAGUGGGGGAUAACGUAGCGAAAGUUACGCUAAUACCGCAUAUUCUGUGAGCAGGAAAGCAGGGGAUCGCAAGACCUUGCGCUCUGGGAGCGGCCGAUGUCGGAUUAGCUAGUUGGUGGGGUAAAGGCCUACCAAGGCGACGAUCCGUAGCGGGUCUGAGAGGAUGAUCCGCCACACUGGGACUGAGACACGGCCCAGACUCCUACGGGAGGCAGCAGUGGGGAAUUUUGGACAAUGGGCGCAAGCCUGAUCCAGCCAUGCCGCGUGAGUGAAGAAGGCCUUCGGGUUGUUAAAGGCUCUUUCGG
This 411-nucleotide ribosomal RNA is filed under the name uncultured bacterium. RNAcentral describes it as "bacterial SSU rRNA". It matches the Rfam family "Bacterial small subunit ribosomal RNA", at positions 29 to 439 of the family's 1533-position model. The record is from RNAcentral.